CUUCUCGUCCGCGGGUCUGGUUUGGUCCCAAUCGACCAGUCAAUCGACCAACUGGUCUAUUGCUUUCAUCCUCCUCUUGAUUCUUUGAUUCUUCACUUCUUUUAACUCCAUUUGCUUAUAAAACUCAAUGCUCCACUCCAAGAACCUAAAAGUAAGAAAUGCUAUGGAAAUAUGCACCUAAGGACCUAAACAAGAAUGCAAAAUGAUGAAAAACCAAGAGAAACAAAGCUUAAAAAGGAGCAAAAACACAAGAUAUCAACUCCCCCAAACUUAUCUCUUGCUAGUCCUCAAGCAAGGGCUAAGAAAUAAGAUGGAAAAGAAGUUUGAAAGCGGGGAUUCAUAGCCACAAAUUAAAAUAUCAAACAAAGGAUUCAACUCAAAGUCCUUAAAAAUAGUUCAAAUUUGCUUGAGUCAAUCAUCAUACUCUUUCGUACUUUUCCAUACUCAUUUCAAUGCAUGAUUCUAUUUCAAUUUCUAACUAUUAGUAAAGACUCACAAUCAAAUUGAAACAUCUCUUUAACAUUCAUUCAAGUGUUUGGCGCGGUCUCGCAAAUGGAAAGUAAAUCAUUCUUAAUCGGUUUUGGUAAAGGUUUUUGGAGGUGGUUUCAAAAGAUUCAUACUUUGGUGGCUUUCUCUCAAGAAAAGGAAUGCUAGACAAUCAUGAAAUCCAUCUAAGACCAAGAACAAUUUAUGUAUACAAAGUUAAGCUCUUGUUGUUCUACCCGCCUAAGAUGUAAACUCCUAUUUCUACUCUCUUUGCGAAUUAUUUUCCUCUUCUUUUCUACCCCAAACACUAGACACUUUGGUCUUUUUAAAUCACCAACCUCAAGAUCACUUUCUUUUUGUAGUCACCUAGGGAAAAUUUCUCUUAAAUACUUAGCUCUUUUCUAUCUCUUUACUUUGGUUUUCUUUGCUCUCAUUACUUAUAACCUUGUAAAUUUCUUUUUCUUUUGGGGAACUAACUUCACACUUUUCUUUCUCUUUUAACUUAGAGACUUAGAGCUUUUAUUUUAACUUUAUUCCCUAGGAACUCUUUAUUUGCAUGGUCAAACCUUUCUUUUCAUUUUUCUUUCUUCCUUUUUCCCAAACCCAAUCCCAAAUAUUCAAUCUAACCACCCAACUCUUUCAUUCCCAACCUAUUAGCUAGUCAAAGAUGUUCAAAAAGCUAGCUAAAACAAGAGCAAAAACUUUGUCGUUCUCAAUACUCUCAAGGUUUCAAAAUCUAUAGCAUUUUCAAACAAGAGGCCUCACUCACAAUCAAUCAUAGGUUUGAAAGAAAAGGUUUGAGGUUAAGGGUAGGGAAACCAUUCUAAAGGUGAGAAUGGCCAUUCGGGUUUACAAAAGAGUGGCAAGCAAAGUGGAUAAGAAAACCCGAAUGAUUCUUUUAGACAACCAUGAGAAUGCAUUUAAAAUCCAUGAGCGAGAAGAUUAAAAUCAAAUUAAGUUCAAAUUCAUAGAGAUGUUUCAAAGUCAUGUAAGCUUCACACAAGUAGAAAUUGCUUUUGAAAAACGCAAAGGUCUAAGUAUGAAUUUUCCAUUUUUUCUUAGAUGAUCAAGCAACGAUUAACUAUGAUUAAGGGCUUUAAGUUCAAUCCUAAGCUUGAAUUUCUACAAGGUAAUUGAAUCAUUAACCCCUAUGCAUAUGCAAAUGCAACUAAAUGCUUCUAGACUCAAUAUUAGAACAAAAAAAAAAAAAAUGAAUAUGCAAAGCUACAUGAUUCUUUUUGGAUUUUUCAAAAUUUUCAAAUUUUUUUGAUUUUUUUCUCAAAACAUAGCUAUUGACAAUGCAAGACUCAAAAGGAUGAAAUCAAAAUAGAACACAAUGUUAGAUGGUUAGUCUCUCCCCCAAACUUAUUUCACAGCGUCUCGGUGUGAAGAAAAAUAUGAGAAAAAGACUAACAAAACAGAGAAUGCAAAAGACGAGAAAAAUAAAACUAUGUACAAGGAUUUGGAGUGGUACCUCUAGUAAUGAAAGAAGCUUGAGGAAUCUAUGGAAUAGAGUGAGACGAAUCCAUGUAUCCCCCGGAUCAUAUUCAUCGUAGUACCAUCCCCUAAACUUUUUCAUCCUAAUCUCCUCAAAGAGUACCUUCCUCGGUUCAUCAAUGCUCAUUUCAUUGGUGGAGAUUGUACCAAGAUGCUUUCGGACCAUGUAUUCAAAAACCAAAACACCUUCACAAGGAUCUUCAAAUCUUUUUCCAACCACACCUAAUCUUUUCUCAUUGCUCUUGGUUGAAUAACUCAAGAUUGCCACGGGUUCAACUUGUUUUUCAUAUCUCACUACAAGAUUCUCAUCAACCGUGCAUUCAAGAAGCAAUUCAAAUUCUCUUAUAGACUCUUUGGCUUCUUGGAGGAAUUCAUCCUUGAUUUGAGCAUUUUCCUCAAAAACUUCUCCAAUAUCAUUAGGAAGCACCUCUUUUGUCUUGGUUUCGCUAAGAGGAAUGCAUUCUUCUUCUUGUUCCUCGAUCCAUCGUUUAAGGUUGGUGUUGAUAGGCUCCACAUGUGUUGUCUCAAAAACCCUUGAACCUUGAGUCCAGGCACCUAUCUCGGUGUCAAUCAUGCGAAGACUCUCAUUAUACUUCUCUUACUCUUCCAAAAUCAACUUCAACAAGUUGUAAUUCUCUUCUUCAUUAGAGAUUGGGGAAGAAUAGAGUGCUCCAUAGUCAUAGUCCAUCUCCGAAGAUUGAUAUCUACCAUAUCCCCAUUGGUUCCCUUGAGCAUUGUUUCCAUCCGGUUGAUACUCUCUUGAGGUGGAUGUUUCAUAAGCUCCUUGAUAGCUUGUGGAGUUCCAAACUAUCCCUCGUUCUUGGUCUUCCAAUAUGAGCUUCAACAUAGAAUUCAUGUAGGAAGACAUCUUCUUUCUCCCUUGUGAGUGUAUCUUGAAAAAGAACAAACACUUGAAAGAAAGUUAGUAACCAAACAAACUAAAAUGAAACAAGCUUAGUCUCAAGAAAAUUUGAAAUCCUAAUGAUAAAUCUACUUAGUUCCCCGGCAACGGCGCCAAAUUGAUUAGGAGGUUUUCUCUCAAUUAAUAUUUCCUCAAGGUCCAAAAACCACAAUCUAAUGGUUAUCGUUUAUAGCACUUAAGGGUCGAAUCCACAGAGAACUAGAGAUCUAAGACACUAAGAAUACACAAAAUUUCUUAAUCUAAGCAAAUAUAGGAUUGGUUUUAAACUAACAACCUAAGUAAAAUAAAAACAAAAGGAACUAAAAUGCAAAUGAAAUAAACAAACCAAAAGAAAUUGACAAAGCUAAACAAGUGUCUAAGCUAAGCAAUAACCCAUAAACAUAAAGCAAUAGCAAAAUAAAUGAGAAAGAUGCAAUUUAUAAAAGUCAACAAAAAGUCAACGAAAGUCAACAAAAAGUCAAAGACGAAAAUGCUAAAUGAAUAAGCCUUUGGGUUAAGGUUAUUGACUUGGGUGGUCAAAGGAUAGUCUAUGAUGCUAAUACAAUCAAUUAUUUGCUAAUCCUUAGGUCUAAGAUCACUAAUUUAAGCUAAUCCACUUCCAUGGCAAUAACUCUACAUUAAUCAAGCAAUUAACAUCAAUUUCCAUUGGCAAUCACAAGACUAAUAUGCAUUAAUUUCAAGUCUUACUAACCACCUAGCACCCUAAUCAUCAAUUUCCAUUGGCUAGGAAUGCUAAGCACUCACUAAGUUCUUUCGGGAAUUUCAUCGAACACCUUCCGGGCAUGAAACUUCCUAUGAUCUAGACUAGCUUAAUCAAGACUAAUCUAGCACUAAGAGCACCUAGAGAGUAAGGAUAUAUUAAGACUAAGUCCUAAGCAUCACAAAUCAUCACCUAAUCACCCUAAUCUACUUGACCCAAAAGCUCUAAGAAGACUACUCACUUAAAGCCAUGAAAAUCCAAGGAGUUGACACUAAUCCUUGAAAAUUCAUGUUAGAAGAAGAGUAUAAGAGAUAGAUAGAAGUUGAAUCUAAAGAAAUACUUAUAUAAAAGCAAGAAUCACAAAGGUUUAAAGUUGAUUACAAAGAGAAAUGAAGAAAACUAGGCUUAGGUAGCAUAAGAAAUCUAGAAAUUAGGUUUAGACACAUUUAUAGGAAAAGAAAACGAACCGGGUCAACCCGGAACAAACCGGGUUUUGACCCGGUUUAAGUACCCAAUCGACCAGGUAAUCGACCAGCCAAUCGAACAGUCAAUCGACCAACUGGUCUAUUGCUUUCAUCCUCCUCUUGAUUCUUUGAUUCUUCACUUCUUUUAACUCCAUUUGCUUAUAAAACUCAAUGCUCCACUCCAAGAACCUAAAAGUAAGAAAUGCUAUGGAAAUAUGCACCUAAGGACCUAAACAAGAAUGCAAAAUGA
Molecule: long non-coding RNA, 4319 nt
Filed under: Arabidopsis lyrata
Lineage: Eukaryota; Viridiplantae; Streptophyta; Magnoliopsida; Brassicales; Brassicaceae
Description: long non-coding RNA (ALYR_LNC001703)
Source: RNAcentral